CUUGCGUCCCCGCGGGAACCUCCAGCAUCCUCCGUGCAGUGACAGGAGCAGCAGCAGACUCCCGCCUCUGCAACGAUCCCCGGCAGGAGGAUGAGGAUCUGCUGACAGUGAGGAGCCAAUGAUGCCUGGAUGUCAGACUCUGCAGAGAAGAUGGAGCUGGAGGAAGACCUGGUCUCUGGACCAGAUGAAGAAGAAAAGAUAACAGAGAAGAUAUCACUCAAGUCAGAAGACGUCACUCAGAGGAUCAGAAUCGUAGUGAGGAGCCAUCUGGGCGUCAAGUUCUGCUGAGUGAACAUUUAGCUGGAACAAGUCCC
Long non-coding RNA from Hyla sarda, 314 nucleotides. RefSeq lists it as uncharacterized. The transcript has 3 exons. The record is from RefSeq and is a predicted model, not a curated record. NCBI's taxonomy places the organism in Eukaryota, Metazoa, Chordata, Amphibia, Anura, Hylidae.